AACCAGUACCGUGAGGGAAAGGUGAAAAGCACCCCGGAAGGGGAGUGAAAUAGAACCUGAAACCGUGUGCUUACAAGUAGUCAGAGCCCGUUAAUGGGUGAUGGCGUGCCUUUUGUAGAAUGAACCGGCGAGUUACGAUUUGAUGCAAGGUUAAGCAGUAAAUGUGGAGCCGUAGCGAAAGCGAGUCUGAAUAGGGCGUUUAGUAUUUGGUCGUAGACCCGAAACCAGGUGAUCUACCCUUGGUCAGGUUGAAGUUCAGGUAACACUGAAUGGAGGACCGAACCGACUUACGUUGAAAAGUGAGCGGAUGAACUGAGGGUAGCGGAGAAAUUCCAAUCGAACCUGGAGAUAGCUGGUUCUCUCCGAAAUAGCUUUAGGGCUAGCCUCAAGUGAUGAUUAUUGGAGGUAGAGCACUGUUUGGACGAGGGGCCCCUCUCGGGUUACCGAAUUCAGACAAACUCCGAAUGCCAAUUAAUUUAACUUGGGAGUCAGAACAUGGGUGAUAAGGUCCGUGUUCGAAAGGGAAACAGCCCAGACCACCAGCUAAGGUCCCAAAAUAUAUGUUAAGUGGAAAAGGAUGUGGCGUUGCCCAGACAACUA
RNAcentral lists this ribosomal RNA (600 nucleotides) under Staphylococcus aureus. RNAcentral's name for it is "partial 23S ribosomal RNA". It matches the Rfam family "Bacterial large subunit ribosomal RNA", at positions 493 to 1095 of the family's 2925-position model. The record is from RNAcentral. Lineage: Bacteria; Bacillati; Bacillota; Bacilli; Caryophanales; Staphylococcaceae.